AGUGAACGCUGGCGGUAGGCCUAACACAUGCAAGUCGAACGGCAGCACAGUAAGAGCUUGCUCUUACGGGUGGCGAGUGGCGGACGGGUGAGGAAUACAUCGGAAUCUACUUUUUCGUGGGGGAUAACGUCGGGAAACUUACGCUAAUACCGCAUACGACCUACGGGUGAAAGCAGGGGAUCUUCGGACCUUGCGCGAUUGAAUGAGCUGAUGUCGGAUUAGCUAGUUGGCGGGGUAAAGGCCCACCAAGGCGACGGUCCGUAGCUGGUCUGAGAGGAUGGUCAGCCACACUGGAACUGAGACGCGGUCCAGACUCCUACGGGAGGCAGCAGUGGGGAAUAUUGGACAAUGGGCGCAAGCCUGAUCCAGCCAUGCCGCGUGGGUGAAGAAGGCCUUCGGGUUGUAGAGCCCUUUUGUUGGGAAAGAAAAGCAGCAGGUUAAUACCCCGCUGUUCUGACGGUACCCAAAGAAUAAGCACCGGCUAACUACGUG
RNAcentral lists this ribosomal RNA (492 nucleotides) under uncultured bacterium. RNAcentral describes it as "partial 16S ribosomal RNA". It matches the Rfam family "Bacterial small subunit ribosomal RNA", at positions 29 to 507 of the family's 1533-position model. The record is from RNAcentral.